UGGCUUCAUGUAUUUGAUUUUAGAAUGGACUGACUAAAGAACCUUUUCAGGUUGCAUGGCUGUAAGCUGUCAGAGAGAAGCUGUGAAGCUCUGUCCUCAGUUCUCAGCUCCCAGUCCUCUAGUCUGAGAGAGCUGGACCUGAGUGACAACAACCUGCAGGAUUCAGGAGUAAAUCUGGUGUCAGCUGGACUGAAGAGUCCACACUGCAGACUGGAAACUCUCAGUCUGUCAGGCUGUCUGGUCUCAGAGAAAGGCUGUACAUCUCUGGUCUCAGCUCUGAGCUCCAACCCCUCCCAUCUGAGAGUGCUGGACCUGAGCUACAAUCAUCCAGGAGACUCAGGAGUGAAGCUGCUGUCAGCUGGACUUAAG
Etheostoma cragini (Arkansas darter) is the source of this 369-nucleotide long non-coding RNA. RefSeq lists it as uncharacterized. The transcript is spliced from 2 exons. The record is from RefSeq and is a predicted model, not a curated record. NCBI's taxonomy places the organism in Eukaryota, Metazoa, Chordata, Actinopteri, Perciformes, Percidae.